Molecule: non-coding RNA, 23 nt
Filed under: Arabidopsis thaliana (thale cress)
Lineage: Eukaryota; Viridiplantae; Streptophyta; Magnoliopsida; Brassicales; Brassicaceae
Source: RNAcentral
UUAGGCGAGAAAUUGUAAUGUGU